RNAcentral lists this ribosomal RNA (459 nucleotides) under uncultured bacterium. RNAcentral's name for it is "partial 16S ribosomal RNA". It matches the Rfam family "Bacterial small subunit ribosomal RNA", at positions 338 to 795 of the family's 1533-position model. The record is from RNAcentral.
CCUACGGGAGGCAGCAGUGAGGAAUAUUGGUCAAUGGCCGGAAGGCUGAACCAGCCAAGCCGCGUGAAGGACGAAGGUGCCAAGCAUUGUAAACUUCUUUUGUCAAGGGACAAAAUCAGGCUCGAGAGCCUGACCGUGGGUACUUGAAGAAAAAGCAUCGGCUAACUCCGUGCCAGCAGCCGCGGUAAUCCGGAGGAUGCGAGCGUUAUCCGGAUGUAUUGGGUUAAAGGGGUGCGUAGGGGGGCGGUUAAGUCAGUGGUAAAAGCCCGGGGCCCAACCCCGGCGAGCCGUUGAAACUGGCUGUCUUGAGAUGUCGAGAGGUAUGCGGAAUGCGCAGUGUAGCGGUGAAAUGCUUAGAGAUUGCGCAGAACUCCGAUUGCGAAGGCAGCAUACCGGCGGCGAUCUGACGCUGAGGCACGAAAGCGUGGGUAGCGAACAGGAUUAGAUACCCCAGUAGUC